RNAcentral lists this unclassified non-coding RNA (337 nucleotides) under soil metagenome. Its description in RNAcentral is "partial contains 5.8S ribosomal RNA, internal transcribed spacer 2, and large subunit ribosomal RNA". The stretch from base 1 to 120 matches the Rfam family "5.8S ribosomal RNA", at positions 35 to 154 of the family's 154-position model. The record is from RNAcentral.
GAUGAAGAACGUAGCGAAAUGCGAUAAGUAAUGCGAAUUGCAGAUCUCCGUGAGUCAUUGAAUCUUUGAACGCACAUUGCGCCCCUUGGUAUUCCAUGGGGCAUGCCUGUUCGAGCGUCAUUUGUACCUUCAAGCUCUGCUUGGUGUUGGGUGUUUGUCUCGCCUCUGCGUGUAGACUCGCCUCAAAACAAUUGGCAGCCGGCGUAUUGAUUUCGGAGCGCAGUACAUCUCGCGCUUUGCACUCAUAACGACGACGUCCAAAAGUACAUUUUUACACUCUUGACCUCGGAUCAGGUAGGGAUACCCGCUGAACUUAAGCAUAUCAAUAAGCGGAGGA